Benincasa hispida (wax gourd) is the source of this 2756-nucleotide non-coding RNA. NCBI's taxonomy places the organism in Eukaryota, Viridiplantae, Streptophyta, Magnoliopsida, Cucurbitales, Cucurbitaceae. The record is from RefSeq and is a predicted model, not a curated record.
GUUGUUCACUAUUUGCAGCAUCUCCUCUCUUCUCCCUCGUCAUUUUUGUCUCCGUUCUUGUCCGAUCAAACACUAUGUUCAAAUCUGAUUUUGUUCUUCCUUCUCUCUUAACUUCUAUGGCUUUAGAACUGAUUUUGAUGUCGUCUUUAGAUUUGAUUUCGCGUUUCUUCAUCCCCAUCAGUUCCAUCGCCAUCGAAACUAAAUCUGGAUUCUUAGAUCUAUAGGUCUAGCCCUUCACAUAUCUAUAGAUCUAUGUUUAUGGUAGUUUUCUUCUUGAAUGUUUUCUCUAGACCCUUCACAUAUCUAUAGAUCGUGUCUCUUCCCCUUGCCACUCAAAACGAUCUUUCUCUCUCACCACUCUAAACUUUUGAUUCCCUUUUCUACUUUAUUCAAUCUUCUCACUCUAUCAAAAUAGGCUCUAAUUUGUUUGGUUGAGGAACGAUUGUGCUUGGUGGGGAUAAAAGUUAUCGUUUGGAGAGUGGUAGGGUGUGAAGGACGAGAUCUGGAGCUUGGUAGGGGGAGGUCGAAGGUAAUCUUUUUUUCUCAUUUCCCAUUCGAUGAUCAGGUCCAUUUUUUUCAAGUUUAGCUCAAAAUUUUGUAAAUCAUGCUUUAUGUUUGUCCACUGUUGUCCAUUAUUUUGUUUCAUGUUCAUUGUUUUGCUCCGAAUUAUUUUGCUUACAAAUUAUGCUCUGAAUUUUGUUUCAUGUUCAUUAUUUUGCUAUUAUCGACUUUGUUUAUUGAUUCUAUCAGGUAUUUGAUGGGUUUUAGAUUAGUUAUUUGAUGAAUUUGAUGAAAUUUGAUCAUUUUGAUUAGGUUAUUUUCAUUGUGUUGUCUAUAUCUUCAUUAUACUGAUGAAGAAGAAUGGAUUUUGAUUAGGUUAUUUUCACUAUGUUGUCUAUAAUGUUAUGUUUAUUCUUGGUUUAAUUAUUUGUCCAUUUUCUAAAUUAGGGUCUAUUGUUGUCCAUUUUGGUCACUAUCUGUCAAUUUUUUGUCACUUUUGGCCUCUAUUUGUCCAUUGGUUGGCCAUUUUCGUAAAUUUUGAUAACUAUUUGUCCAUUGUUUGUUUAUUUCAAUCUCUAUUUGUCUAUUGCUUGUACAUUUUGUAACUUUUGGCUUCCAUUUGAUCAUUGUUUAUUGUAUAUUGAUUGACAAUAGUUGUUAGGUACAAUAUUGUAUUCAUAAUUAGCAUAUCCCUUGUUUUUAGGAUGAUUUAUUAUAAAUUGAUUGACAAUGGUUGUUAGGUACUGUUUACUGUAUUCAUCAUUGUCAUAUCCUUUUUUCGGAUGAUUUAUUGUAUACUUAUUGACAAUGGUUGUUAGUUAUUGUUUAUUAGAUAGGUUUUUGUCAAAAUCAUUUACUUUUAUUUAUAUAUGUAUCUCACAUAAAAAAUUUCGUGGGCCAAUAAUUCACACAACUAUAUAUAUGUAUCUCACUUCACUUCAACUUAGGCCAAACUCAUUCCAUCUAUUUACUUAAUGCAAUUGGUAUCUCAUUUCUCUUAUCUCCAACAUUUUCUUAUUCUGUGUUUCCAUGAACUUUGCAUUUUUUUGGUUUCUAUUGUCUCUAUUGUUUGUCUCUAAUUUUCAAUUCUUCUUCCUUGAAUGAAAUAAUUUACCAUUGUUCGUCUAUAAUUUAAAAUCAAUUGUCGGUCGUUCUAUCUACAUUGUUAAUUUCUCAUUUAUCAUUAUUCAUGAUAUUAUCUGAAAUUCAAGUUUCAAUUAAUGAAUUUCAUAACUCUAAGGCUGGACCUGUUUCCAUUCAAUUUUUUUUUUAUACUUUAUAAUUAUGCUCUCACUUGCCUUCAAGUAUAAGGACAAACAUAUUUCAUCUACUUCAUAAAUGUAAAUGGUAUGUCUUCUCCCUCUUUAUCCAACUUUUUUUUUUAUCACGGGAGUUGACGAGUGCCUCCCUGUUAUUACUUCUUGAGUAUAGUACUAAUGCUCUUUAUUGUACUUUGUUUUAGGGUUGGUAUUAUUAUAAAUUAGCCGGAUCAAACACUAUUUACCAACUUUCUCUUGCUAAGAUGGCAUGUACAUCAAGGUAAAUGUCAAUGCAAUUGAUCGCCUAAGGUAUAAGACGAGGAAGGGUGAAAUUGCAACAAAUGUACUAUGUGUGCGAUCCAAAUGGAGACUUUGUAUUCGUCUUAUUAGGGUGGGAAAGAUCGGCAACUGAUUCUCGAGUUCUCAGAGAUGCAAUAUCACAACCUAACCGACUGAAGGUUCUGAAGGAGUUUUUUUGGCUCCAUAUAGAGGCGAAAGAUAUCAUCUUUCAGAGUAGCGUGGAGGAGGUAAUGCACCAACUCCUCCACGAGAAUUCUUUAACAUGAAGCAUUCUUCUGCACGGAAUGUCGUCGAAAGAACGAUCGAGUUGUUACAAGGUAGAUGGGCAAUCUUGCGAGGAAAAUCAUACUACCCAGUGAAAAUCCAAUGUUGAACCAUCAUGGCAUGUUGCCUUCUACACAAUUUUAUCAAUAGAAAGGUGACUAACAGUGACCGAGGAUUUGGAUGAGGUGGAUUCAAGCUUCGCUACACUAGGGGGGAUGAGAUCAAUUAUAUUGAGAGUUCAAAUAAAUGGACCCAAUGGAGGGAUGAAUUGGCGCAACAGAUGUUUACUAAAUGGGAGUUGCAUAGCAUAUAGUGCCUUUAUGCUUCUUUAAUCAAUUAAAACGCUUAUUUUCUUUUUGUGUGUUGUGAAAUGACUUCAUUUGGAACUCUUUCAUUAUGUUUACUAUAUUUUGUGCUUCACUUUACCCAAUA